This 231-nucleotide ribosomal RNA is filed under the name uncultured bacterium. Its description in RNAcentral is "partial 16S ribosomal RNA". It matches the Rfam family "Bacterial small subunit ribosomal RNA", at positions 103 to 334 of the family's 1533-position model. The record is from RNAcentral.
CGGGUGAGUAACACGUAUCCAACCUGCCGUCUACUCUUGGACAGCCUUCUGAAAGGAAGAUUAAUACAAGAUGGCAUCAUGAGUUCACAUGUUCACAUGAUUAAAGGUAUUCCGGUAGACGAUGGGGAUGCGUUCCAUUAGAUAGUAGGCGGGGUAACGGCCCACCUAGUCUUCGAUGGAUAGGGGUUCUGAGAGGAAGGUCCCCCACAUUGGUGCUGAGACACGGACCAA